Molecule: long non-coding RNA, 940 nt
Organism: Cercocebus atys (sooty mangabey)
Lineage: Eukaryota; Metazoa; Chordata; Mammalia; Primates; Cercopithecidae
Exons: 3
Source: RefSeq, a predicted model, not a curated record
CACUCACCACGGGUGCCAUUGAAGAAGAGCGUCUGCCGGGCUGGGUUCUGGAUGACAACUAUGGACCCAUCAUACUGGUGCAGACGGCAGAUGAACGAUCACAGUGAAAGAGAAGCCCAGCCAGCAGCCAGCACCAACGGCCAGCUAUGUGAGUGAGGCCAUCCUGGAUCAUCCAGCCCCAGCUGCCCCACCAGAUGACAGCAGCCAUACAAAUGACCCCAGUUGAGACCAAUAAAAGAUCUGCCCAUCUGAUACAGCCCAAACUGCUGAACCCCAGAAUCAUGAACAAAUAAGUAAAAGAAAAGAACACUGGUUGUAUUUUAUGGUUGCACUAUGUCCAGCAGAAAAAGACAUUUCUCAGUCUCCUUGCAGCAAGGUAAAACCAUCUGAUAAAAUUUUGUCCAGUUGGAUACAGGCCAAAAUUUUGCAUGACAAUUUUGGGAGGACUUCCUGAAACAGGUGGACAAACCCUUUUUUCUACUGAGUCACCUUUGUGCCGCCCGGAACUAGCAGUGUGAUGCACGGAAUUUAGGCAGCCAUAUUGAACCAUGAGGACAAGGGCAGUGGGAAUGGCGGAACCAAGAGCUGGAAGGUGCCUGAGUCUCUGGUGAAGAUGUGGAGCUGCUGUAACAGCCCUGGACUCCUACUUCUGGACUUCUUUGAUGUUUGAGUGUAACACUUUGGGUAUUUUUAUUUUUAAAAUUUAUUUUAGAGAUGAGGUCUCACUAUGUUGCCCAGGCUGGACUCAAACUCUUAUGCUCAAGCAGGCCUCCUGCCUCAGUUUCCUGAAUAGCUGAAGCUAUAGCACUUUGGGUAUUUAAGCUACUAUUUGAGGUUUAUUUAGCACCUCCUGGAAUAUCAAGCUUAACGUGUCCAAUCCUUGCCCCAGAUAUUUUCCUCCCCAGAUUUUCUCAAUCUCAAUAAAUGUCACCACCAUUCA